Molecule: transfer RNA, 69 nt
Filed under: Nitrospirota bacterium
Lineage: Bacteria; Pseudomonadati; Nitrospirota
Description: Nitrospirae bacterium (sediment metagenome) tRNA-OTHER
Source: RNAcentral
GGGGAGGUCUAUUGGUAGAAAAGCCGGGUCCGCACCUGCUAAAAAGGGGUUCGAUUCCCCUCCUCUCCA